RNAcentral lists this non-coding RNA (64 nucleotides) under Salinimicrobium xinjiangense DSM 19287. RNAcentral describes it as "S15-Flavobacteria ribosomal protein leader". It matches the Rfam family "S15-Flavobacteria ribosomal protein leader". The record is from RNAcentral. Lineage: Bacteria; Pseudomonadati; Bacteroidota; Flavobacteriia; Flavobacteriales; Flavobacteriaceae.
UAUAUUUGCGCCCUGGUAGAAAAACUGCCAAUACAUAAAAAUCAUUAAAAUUAAUAUUGGAAUG